GACGAACGCUGGCGGCGUGCUUAACACAUGCAAGUCAAGGGGGCGGAGCAAUCCGCAACCGGCGAACGGGUGCGUAACACGUGAGCAAUCUGCCGAUUUCUGGGGGGAUAGCCGGCCCAAACGGCCGGGUAAUACCGCAUACGCUCAUUUGGGGGAGUCCCCGAGUGAGGAAACCCUCCGGGGGAGAUCGAGGAGCUCGCGGCCUAUCAGCUAGUUGGUGCGGUC
RNAcentral lists this ribosomal RNA (225 nucleotides) under uncultured bacterium. RNAcentral's name for it is "partial 16S ribosomal RNA". It matches the Rfam family "Bacterial small subunit ribosomal RNA", at positions 28 to 259 of the family's 1533-position model. The record is from RNAcentral.